AGCGGGUCUCGGUCUCGGUCUCUCCCACGCGGGGCGGCCCCGCGCCAGGGGAAGCGCCGCCGAGACCUUCCGCCCCAGCCGGCGCCUGCCGCCUCCGAGCACACGCCGCCUCCGAGCACACGCCGCCGCGCAGGCAGACGGGAUAUCUCGGAGUUGCUGUGCAGCACCAGCACGCAGGCUGUUGGUGGGAAGGUACAAGGCUGAGCCGUUGCUGGAGGAGGAGAACACGCUCAGAACGGUUUGGUACACGCAGGUGUAGGGCAAAGUUCUGCAUCUUCCUGCCACCUCCUGCCUCUUCAUCUGCUAUUAACUGCCCCUCCCAAGAGAACACUUCUGUAUCCAACAGUGCACGCAGGAAUGGAGAAGGAGCUCUUUCUUUGCUUUCCUUUGUCUUCCUUGAGUUAACAUUUACCUUCUAUAGACCUGUUACAUUAUUCACAUUUUGCUACAGAGUGUGAGCUGUUCUCCUUAUAUGUGGUGGGAAGCAUAUGUAGCUCUACGGGAAAGGUGGAGGGAAGUUUAUUUUUUUUACUUUUCUAUUUAUAUUAGCACAGUGAUCAUUCAUAGUAAAAGCCCAUAACAGGCUAUAGAAAUGUCUUACCAUCACUUGAUCAGAUGUAAGAUGGUAAUAUCAUCCAUGGCAAAACAUUCCCUAUAAAUGCUCCCCUUGUGAACACAUCAAAACCGAAAAGCAGGAAAAACCUACAUGGUCAUCUGGAAAACAUGCCUGAAGGCAGGAAGGAAGAGUGAGAGCUAGAGCUACACACAAACCUGCUGAUUCACACAGCUGCUUUUUUUUUUUCUUUUGUGAAAUCUUGGGCACAAGCCAAUGUUUUCACUCUGUCUUUUCCACCUUCCCAUUUUGUUCUGGUUUGACCCGUUGGUGCAGCCCUCCUGGACCUAGAAGGAAAGUUUGGAAACCCACAUACCUCUGAAAGAAAAGAGCAGUGAGGAGCUGCCACACUGCCCCCUCUGCACGUGGCAUUAAUGCACACAGGAAGGUGCAGCUCCUGACAAAUCCUCACUAAAAUGACCUCUAACUGGAGGCUUGGUCACAUUUUUGGGUUCAACUAGUUAAUGUUUCUAAAUUUUUAGAGGUACUUUUUCAUUUCUAUGCUACUUUGUUUCCUUAGUUCUCAUUCAUACAUAUUUCCUUUGGAGCCUCAGAUACACUAAUGUGACUGUGCUUGUUUGCUUGGUUUGUAUUGUGGAACCACAGAAAACAGCAUCUGGACUAUCUUAUAUGUCCGGUGUAUCACAUAGACAUUAACUAAUGCCUUUUACAUAGGAUUUGCCAUACUGCAUCAGACCCCCAAUCUGUCUAAUCCUAUAUCCUAUUUCCAGCAUUAGCCAACAGCCGAUGAUUCAGAGGAAGUAAAUGCCACCAAUCACUCCCAAAACAGGUACCUUCCCUUUUCACAACCCUGUGUCCAUGACCUACAUUUUAUUUUCUUUUGGGGCUUCAGAUUCUGAAUGGGGAGGUAAGAUAUUUUCCCUUUAUUACACACGUGUCAAUGAAGGAAGGCUGGGAGUUGCCACCACCAGAGUGCCUCUCCCCCAGCUGAAAAGUUUACAGUCUCAACCCAGGUAUUUUCAUACAAUUUUCCUGAUGUUCAAAGGCUGUCAGGUUUCUUGAAUGUAAAUGAAAAGAAAUAAAUAACUGAUUCUUUUU
This is a long non-coding RNA of Columba livia (rock pigeon), 1672 nucleotides long. RefSeq lists it as uncharacterized. The record is from RefSeq and is a predicted model, not a curated record. The transcript has 2 exons. NCBI's taxonomy places the organism in Eukaryota, Metazoa, Chordata, Aves, Columbiformes, Columbidae.